UCCAUCUGUGUGUCCGUGUAGAAUGAUGUCUGCAGCACCAGGUAGUUUGAGAUGUCGGGGAACUCAACGGAUGGAUGAUUUUCCAACUUGUUUCAGCAGCCAUUCUCAUCUCCAUGACAACAGAGCAAGAGGAAGGGGGCAGUAAAGAUGGACGGAGGGAGUGGCUAUACAGCGCAAGUCAGAAGGAAGAGAAAUGGGCUGAGAUGGCACAUCCUCAGCACUACCCAAAAGCCUGCGCAAGCUCUUUGAGCAGCAGACCUGCCUGAUCCAUCCUGAUGCCCUACAUCUGGCUGGAGUCUCAUCACAUUGCUCCUGUGGAGGAUGGCCCCAUAUGGACAAUCGAAAGUCGCACUUGGAAGAUGGCACUGGACACUUACAGUAAUGCUUUUAUGGCUGAGGACUACAGUUGACUUGCUAACUUUAGGAUUGCAGUUGGUUGUCAUGAACAGUUUUGCACUCAAGUUUCCAUCAAUGAACAGUUUAUAACUUCAACAGAAC
Molecule: long non-coding RNA, 498 nt
Organism: Neoarius graeffei (lesser salmon catfish)
Lineage: Eukaryota; Metazoa; Chordata; Actinopteri; Siluriformes; Ariidae
Exons: 3
Source: RefSeq, a predicted model, not a curated record